This 164-nucleotide ribosomal RNA is filed under the name Bupleurum longiradiatum f. longiradiatum. RNAcentral's name for it is "5.8S ribosomal RNA". It matches the Rfam family "5.8S ribosomal RNA". From Rfam's summary of the family: 5.8S ribosomal RNA (5.8S rRNA) is a component of the large subunit of the eukaryotic ribosome. It is transcribed by RNA polymerase I as part of the 45S precursor that also contains 18S and 28S rRNA. Functionally, it is thought that 5.8S rRNA may be involved in ribosome translocation. The record is from RNAcentral. Lineage: Eukaryota; Viridiplantae; Streptophyta; Magnoliopsida; Apiales; Apiaceae.
CAAACGACUCUCGGCAACGGAUAUCCCGGCUCUCGCAUCGAUGAAGAACGUAGCGAAAUGCGAUACUUGGUGUGAAUUGCAGAAUCCCGUGAACCAUCGAGUUUUUGAACGCAAGUUGCGCCCGAUGUCUUUAGGCUGAGGGCACGUCUGCCUGGGUGUCACGU